AGAGUCACGCUGAUGGCGGAGGGACGGCAGCGCCAGGGCCACUGGAGGGCGCGGCUUCUAACAGGGGUGCGCCUUUCGGGUCAGGAGGCCUGCUGCCACUUUGGGAGGCGUGUGUGUGUAGGGGUGUGUGUAGGUGUGUAAGGGUGUGUAUGUAGGUGUAUGAGUGUAGGUGUGUGUGUAGGUGUAUGAGUGUAGGUUUGUAUGUGUAGGUGUAGGUUGUGUAGGUAUAGAUGUAUGUGGUGUGUGUAGGUGGUGUGUGUAGAUGUGUGUGGUGUGUGUAGGGGUGUGUGUGCAGGUGUGUAGGUGUAUGAGUGUGUAGGGGUGGUAUAUGCAGGGGUGUGUAUGUAGGUGUAUGAAUGUAGGUGUGUAUGUGUAGGUGUAGGUGUGGGUAGGUGUAGGUGUGUGGUGUGUGUAGGUGUGUAUGUGUAGGUGUAGGGGUGUGUGUGUAGGUGUGGUGGGUGUAGAUGUGUGUGUGGUGUGUGUGUAGGUGUAUGAGUGUGUAGGUGUGGUGUGUGUAAGGGUGUGUGUAGGUGUAUGAGUAUAGGUGUGGUGUGUGUAGGUGUGGGUGUAGAUGUGUGUGUGGUGUGUGUAGGGGUGUGUGUAGGUGUAUGAGUGUAGGUGUGGUGUGUGUAGGUGUGUGUGGUGGGUGUAGAUGUGUGUGUGGUGUGUGUAGGUGUAUGAGUGUGUAGGUGUGAUGUGUGUAGGGGUGUGUGUAGGUGUAUGAAUGUGUGUGUGUAGGUGUGUGUGGUGGGUGUAGAUAUGUGUGUGUGGUGUGUGUAGGGCUGUGUGUGUAGGUUUAUGAGUGGAGGUGUGUGUGGAGGUGUGUGGUGGGUGUAGAUGUGUGUGGUGUGUGUGUGGGGGUGUGUAGGUGUAUGGGUGUGUAGGUGUGGUGUGUAGGGCUGUGUGUGUAGGUGUAUGAGUGGAGGUGUGUGGAGGUGUGUGUGGUGGGUGUAGAUGUGUGUGUGGUGUGUGUAGGGGUGUGUGUGUAGGCGUAUGAGUGGAGGUGUGGUGUGUGUAGGUGUGGUGUGUGGAGGUGUGUGUGGUGGGUGUAGAUGUGUGUGUGUGGUGUGUGUGGGUGUGUGUGGUGUAUGGGUGUGUAGGUGUGGUGUGUGUAGGGCUGUGUGUAGGUGUAUGAGUGGAGGUGUGGUGUGUGGAGGUGUGUGUGGUGGGUGUAGAUGUGUGUGUGGUGUGGGGGUGUGUAGGUGUAUGAGUGUGUAGGUGUGGUGUGUGUAGGGGUGUGUGUAGGUGUAUGAGUGGAGGUAUGACGUGUGGAGGUGUGUGUGGUGGGUGUAGAUGUGUGUGUGGUGUGUGUAGGGGUGUGUGUAGGUGCAUGAGUGUGUAGGUGUGGUGUGUGUGUAGGGGUGUCUGUGUAGGUGUAUGAGUGUAGGUGUGUGUGGAGGUGGGUGUGUGUGUGUGUGUGUUGGGAGGGGAGGUGGAUGAGAACUUUGUGAUUCCAGUGACUGACACUCAUUCCUGAUUAGCAUCAUUAGAAUCACCAUCUG
Molecule: long non-coding RNA, 1502 nt
Filed under: Homo sapiens (human)
Lineage: Eukaryota; Metazoa; Chordata; Mammalia; Primates; Hominidae
Description: HSALNT0405940
Source: RNAcentral